AGGUGAAAAGCACCCCGGAAGGGGAGUGAAACAGUUCCUGAUACCGUGUGCCUUCAAGUAGUUAGAGCCCGUUCAUGGGUGAUAGCGUGCCUUUUGUAGAAUGAACCGGCGAGUUACGAUUUGUUGCAAGGUUAAGCGGAAAAAGCGGAGCCGUAGCGAAAGCGAGUCUGAAUAGGGCGCAUAAGUGACAGGUGG
This 195-nucleotide ribosomal RNA is filed under the name Listeria monocytogenes. RNAcentral's name for it is "partial 23S ribosomal RNA". It matches the Rfam family "Bacterial large subunit ribosomal RNA", at positions 512 to 709 of the family's 2925-position model. Lineage: Bacteria; Bacillati; Bacillota; Bacilli; Caryophanales; Listeriaceae. The record is from RNAcentral.